This 513-nucleotide ribosomal RNA is filed under the name uncultured bacterium. RNAcentral describes it as "partial 16S ribosomal RNA". It matches the Rfam family "Bacterial small subunit ribosomal RNA", at positions 28 to 523 of the family's 1533-position model. The record is from RNAcentral.
GAUGAACGCUGGCGGCAUGCCUAACACAUGCAAGUCGAACGGCAGCACAGUAAAGACUUCGGUCUUUAUGGGUGGCGAGUGGCGGACGGGUGAGUAACGCGUAGGAAUCUGUCCUGGAGAGUGGGAUAACCCGAGGAAACUCGGGCUAAUACCGCAUGAUAUCGAGAGAUCAAAGGCAGGGGACCCUUCGGGGCCUUGCGCUCUAGGUUGAGCCUACGUCGGAUUAGCUAGUUGGUGGGGUAAAGGCCUACCAAGGCGACGAUCCGUAGCUGGUCUGAGAGGAUGACCAGCCACACUGGGACUGAGACACGGCCCAGACUCCUACGGGAGGCAGCAGUGGGGAAUCUUGGACAAUGGGGGAAACCCUGAUCCAGCGAUGCCGCGUGUGUGAAGAAGGCCUUCGGGUUGUAAAGCACUUUAGGUGGGGAAGAAAGGUAAUGAGUGAAUAACUGAUUGCUUUGACGGUACCCGCAGAAUAAGCACCGGCUAACUCUGUGCCAGCCGCCGCCGUAA